GGUAGCGUGGCCGAGCGGUCUAAGGUGCUGGAUUUAGGCUCCAGUCUUUCUGGAGGCGUGGGUUCGAAUCCCACCGCUGCCA
This 82-nucleotide transfer RNA is filed under the name Pangasius djambal. RNAcentral describes it as "tRNA-Leu". It matches the Rfam family "tRNA". Rfam says of the family: Transfer RNA (tRNA) molecules are approximately 80 nucleotides in length. Their secondary structure includes four short double-helical elements and three loops (D, anti-codon, and T loops). Further hydrogen bonds mediate the characteristic L-shaped molecular structure. tRNAs have two regions of fundamental functional importance: the anti-codon, which is responsible for specific mRNA codon recognition, and the 3' end, to which the tRNAs corresponding amino acid is attached (by aminoacyl-tRNA synthetases). tRNAs cope with the degeneracy of the genetic code in two manners: having more than one tRNA (with a specific anti-codon) for a particular amino acid; and 'wobble' base-pairing, i.e. permitting non-standard base-pairing at the 3rd anti-codon position. The record is from RNAcentral. Lineage: Eukaryota; Metazoa; Chordata; Actinopteri; Siluriformes; Pangasiidae.